AUUGAACGCUGGCGGCAGGCCUAACACAUGCAAGUCGAGCGGAUGAAGGGAGCUUGCUCCUGGAUUCAGCGGCGGACGGGUGAGUAAUGCCUAGGAAUCUGCCUGGUAGUGGGGGAUAACGUCCGGAAACGGGCGCUAAUACCGCAUACGUCCUGAGGGAGAAAGUGGGGGAUCUUCGGACCUCACGCUAUCAGAUGAGCCUAGGUCGGAUUAGCUAGUUGGUGGGGUAAAGGCCUACCAAGGCGACGAUCCGUAACUGGUCUGAGAGGAUGAUCAGUCAAACUGGAACUGAGACACGGUCCAGAAUCCUACGGGAGGCAGCAGUGGGGAAUAUUGGACAAUGGGCGAAAGCCUGAUCCAGCCAUGCCGCGUGUGUGAAGAAGGUCUUCGGAUUGUAAAGCACUUUAAGUUGGGAGGAAGGGCAGUAAGUUAAUACCUUGCUGUUUUGACGUUACCAACAGGAUAAGCACCGGCUAACUUCGUG
This 484-nucleotide ribosomal RNA is filed under the name uncultured bacterium. Its description in RNAcentral is "partial 16S ribosomal RNA". It matches the Rfam family "Bacterial small subunit ribosomal RNA", at positions 30 to 507 of the family's 1533-position model. The record is from RNAcentral.